Long non-coding RNA from Amphiprion ocellaris (clown anemonefish), 372 nucleotides. The record is from Ensembl. Lineage: Eukaryota; Metazoa; Chordata; Actinopteri; Pomacentridae.
AUUUGAGACUGUGACUCAGGGACAGUGUCAUCAGGCAUUUCUUCCGUCUCAUCCACUCCAUCCAGAGCACACUGUGGCUCCUCACAGACCAGCUUCUCCACCGCCUCCUCCCGGUUCCGGCUCUCCGGCUGAGCCUCCUUCGCCCGUGUAGGACCAGGAACCUCCACGCCUCCGGAGCCCCUCGCAUCGGAGUUUGCAGUCAACCAAGGCCGACUCAGAAUCACUCCCACCGGGAAGAUCUGUGAAGGAAGGUCCACCCGGCUGGUCCAGAAGCUCCGGUCCAGCAGAGCAGCGUCAGGAUGGAGACGUAACCGGUGUUGAUGUCACCGCCUUGACGAAUAGAAGAAAGGCCUGUAUUUGAGUAUGAAGGGC